CCAAGAAUAUCCCCUCUUCUGCUACAUGUGGACUCAUGUAGAAGAGCUGGUAGACUUUCUAAAACACUUUCCAAAAGACAUCUUUCAGAAUUCAGUC
Molecule: unclassified non-coding RNA, 97 nt
Organism: Vulpes vulpes (red fox)
Lineage: Eukaryota; Metazoa; Chordata; Mammalia; Carnivora; Canidae
Source: Ensembl